RNAcentral lists this long non-coding RNA (7754 nucleotides) under Ananas comosus (pineapple). RNAcentral describes it as "long non-coding RNA (ACOM_LNC012251)". Lineage: Eukaryota; Viridiplantae; Streptophyta; Magnoliopsida; Poales; Bromeliaceae. The record is from RNAcentral.
AAAGUUCCCAGUGGGUUCGGCCGCCGACCUCGCCGACUCACCCACUAGGUCUACUCAGGCAUAUAUGUAGGCAAGAAAGGUAAAACAGAUAGUAACCAACUAUAUAUGUAACUACUACAAUGCCUGUACAAAGCUGGAAGAAAGCAAUAUAUGAAAACUGUAAAUAUACAUGCAUGCUUUUACUGAGUUUACCCAAUCCAUUUUGGUUAACCCUUCGGUUAACAAUUACUCACUGACGCUAUCCCAAAUAUCAGGGAGACGCACAUGCACCCGAUGGGACCGUCAACUGGGGGAGACGCACCUCCUGGUCCAGUAAAGAUGACUACUCCGGAGCUCAUCGUUCAAGGAGGAGCGACCUCACUUGAACCACACAAAUGUGAGUAUGAUCUGAUCCCCUUUAGAGGAUUCAACUGACAAACACUGUCACACUUUACUCUAACUAGUUCUUUAUACUAGUUUCACAAUUCCAUUUCUCGAUGCUAACCAAAUCUCUAGUUGAAUGUCACCAAGUUUACUAUUGCUAUAGUCCAUACAUUCAUAGGGUUCUAUGUUCACAUUCUAAGUUCACAUUUUCUCAACAUUGAUAAACAUUCACAUAUUCAACUAUCACUUGCAUAAUAUCACUACCCUAUGAUGCAUGAAUACAAGUAAUAUGCUCAAUGGAAAACCAUAGACAUAAAAGGUGAUUCAAAGACUUCGGAUAGCACCACCCACCUGUAGUGGUGUCAACGACUAGAAUCCACGUCUCGGAAUGUGUCGACAACUAGCUCUCGCGACUCAGUGCAAAUAGAACUAGAACAGUCUCUACCGUGAUUAGCGCGUCGUCGACCUGUCGAAAUGUCAAUUUAGACUUUUGAGCAUGUUUAACUUUCAUUUAUAUAAGAAUAAAAGAGAUUAAAAUUGAGUUACAUACUCAUUUUCCACAACUUUGCAUUUCAAUUCUUACUUGUAUAUAUGUAUAUUCUAUGACUAUAUACAUUUACUUAGUCUAAUUACUAAGCUUCCCUUUAUCAACUCUAUACUUUAAUAGCCUCCCAAUUCCCUCUUUCUACAGCAAUUAUGCUUAUUCUGAUUCAGAAUUUGAAUUAACUCCAUUCAAUCUUCCUUCUCAACUAUUCUCUAUAAAUGCAUAUAUAUACAUAUAUAGUAUAAUUAGUAUUAUAGAGUUCCAAUUAGGAACUAACCAAUGCAGUUUUGCAUUCGUAUUAGCUCAAUUAGUUUGAUCUCAGCUCUAAUAAUAAGAAUUUCAAAUGCUGAAAUUCAGUUGCUGAAACUCAAUUGCUGAAAUCUGCACUAUGCUUCCAUUCUUCUCAGCUUAAUUCUUCAAAAUCUGCACUAUGCCUCUACACCAACUUCUCUUCACUUGUUACCUUCUUUUAGGCUAAUUUCUACUACCACUAGUAGCCCUUCUAUGCAGAAAUCAAAGUGGAUUUACCUCAGAUUUCAUUUACAAUAAUCUAACACCUACAUUUCUAUAUGCAUGUAGGCAGUUUGCAAGUACCAGUUUGCAUACUUGAAAUUGUUAAAUUUCAGCUGCAGCCCCCUAGAAACUAAUUUCAACAAUUGAUACUCUUAACUUUGUACACUCUUCUAUUGGAAUUAACACUUAUCAAUCUUGGGAAUAAGUAUCCAUCUCACCUAAUUCAAGGCUCCAUCAGAUUUGCUGCAGUUGAACUACCAAAGAAGCUCCACCAAGGCUUCUUCAACUUCACAAUCAGAAUUUCUGUUUUAAAAUCCUCUUUUCCAAGUAGUUAACCUUUCUAAGCAUAAAUACUAAUCAAGAUUACCUUGAUUAGAUGCUGUUCCAACAACUAGCAGUUUCAUACUCCUCUCUUUACUUCAGCUUCUUCUGAAAUUUCUAUAUAACCGUAUCAAUUUAACUUAGUUAAAAGCAACUCACACAAUCAAUUAUGCUCAGCCUAAUAGGGAAGCAGUUUACUUACUUUAAUUCCUAAUUUUCCUUAAUCAAAGCAUCAACUUAGCAGCUUCAAUCAGCCUGAAGCUUCAAAUCCCACCUUAAUUAGAUACUUCUUUUAAUUAAUCUCAGCUUUAAAAAGCCUUCCUUGCUGCUCCACAAAAUUCUUCUUAUCAUCAACUUGUUGCCUCCCUCAAUUGCUCGGUUUCCAUCAGCCUAGAGAGAGAAAGAGAUGAAGAAAUGGAUUAGAAUAAGCUGAGGGAAUAAGUCCUUGAUACGUGUACAUCCUCAGCUUCACUGAGUUAAAGGGAUAAGAUCAGAAAUUGCUACUUAACCCUCCUAAAAUGCUGAAACUGCAUUGUAGCCUGCUGGUUUACAAUUCAGUCCCUGCAGUUCGCAGUUUAGUCCCUGCAGACUUACAAUGCAGUCCCUGCACUAACCAAAACCUGGCAGCAGCAAUUUGAAGCCUUUGUCGCGCAUCUAAUUCAUUCUAAGUCCACUUAAACACUUCCGAAACGUACUAACACACUUCCACAAGUUAUCAAAUUAAUUUGGAAACAAUUAAUUUUCAUUUUUGCAUCAAUUUGGCCAUUUUGACCAAAUCGACUAAAAUUUCAGCUUUCGAGUUGCAAUGACAAUUGGAGAUCUUUAACCAUUUCGAUUCCAUUCGUGUCUAUUCUCACACUUCCAAAAUAAUUCGGAGGUACUAUAAUUAACAUUCAUACCUCACUUUGAUCGCAUAGGUUACGUUAGCGUCAUAAUCCGAAAAUUCCCUUUCAAGUUCAUUUCGCGCCCGAUUUGUGCCCGAAUACCCAAUUACCUCCAGAGAUCAUUCCCACACGUCCAGAAACACUCUGGAAUGAUGCACAUCCAAUUCACAUUUCACUUUAAUAUUCCAGAUUAAAAUUAGCAUCGCAACCCGAAAUUUUUCGUAUAUUACAAUCUCCCCUCCUUAAAUAGUUUCGUCCUCGAAACUAAAAUUCAUACCUCAAUCUUCUUGAUCAAAUAGAUGGGGAUAAAGUUCUCAUAUGGCUUAUUCCAAUUCCCAAGUGACUUUUCGUCUCGAGUGACUGUUCCAUUGCAUGUUCACAUAAGGAAUGGUGCGAUUUCGUAAUUUUCGCACUUCACGAUCAAGAAUACAUACUGGAUGUUCUUUAUAUGUCAUAUUCUCUUGCAAAUCCGCUGGCUCGUACUCCAGAAUAUGCCCUGAAUGAUGCACCUAUUUAUGGAGAUUUAAAACGUGAAACAUAUUGUGUAUUCCUUCGAAUUUCGGUGGCAAAGCCAAUCGAUAGGUUACUGCUCCAACUCGUUCUAGGAUCCCGUAAGGUCCAAUGUAUUGAGGACUAAACUUUCCUCGAACACCAAAUCUUUUUUUCUUUUUCUUUUUCUUUUUUUUUUUUUAUCCUGCGCAUUGGCGAUACCCUAAAGAAUACUGAAUCGCCCACAGCAAACUCCAAGUUCUUUUGGCGCUUAUUGGCAUAAUUCUUGGAGCACAUCAGGACCAAGUAUCAGUUUUUUUUUUCUCCUACUUCACUCCAAUGAAUAGGAGAUCGAUCAAAGCUUCAAUUGGUGUCAUUUCGAUUUUUUUUUUUUUUUUUUUGAUAGCUGUUAUUAUAUGCAGCUCGGCCAUUGCCAAGAAUUCAUGCCAACUUCCUCUGAAGCCCACUACACACGCUCGAAACCUAUCCUCCAAAAUUUGAAUCAUCCUCUCAGAUUGUCCAUCCGUCUGAGGAUGAAAACUGUACUAAAAUCGAGUCGUAUGUCACGAGCAUACUGUAAACUCUUCCAAAAGCGAGAUAUAAACUGUGGAUCUCGAUCAGAUACAAUUGACGUCGAGACUUCAUGUGAUCUCACGAUCUCGGGUAACCACUUGUAUUCAUUCUCAUAAUAUAAUUAAUCCCGCACAUCCAGGAUAUACCCUGUUCUUUCCAAUCUUAUUAUUCAAGUCUCCAUGUCUCAACAGCAAUGUAAGUCAAUUUCUAUGACUUACUAUACUCCAAGAUCUUUUACUAUCAAAUGUUUAUUUGACUUGGUUACCACACCAAUUCAAUCCUCACCUAAGUGAUAUGCUUUAGAAUUAGCAUUCUCCUCAUACAAUUAGCGACUACCCGCACCAUCGACUUAACAUGCCUAUAUCAUCAUUCUUAUCAUCAACAGAUGAUAACCAAUUCAUACCAAUAAGCAUCAUUUUACUUCAAAGAAUAACACUAUCUGUUUUUCUCACGGUGGGGAUCAUUCCUGUAUGGCGCUUACUCGAUUCAUAUAUGAACUUAGUCUGUAGACUACCUUGACUCAUAUAUAAACUUAUCAAGUAACAUCCACUAUACCCAUUACUCUCUGGUGAAGUCUAUUUCGACUCUCAACUGACAUCGCUACCUGCAAUUUUGCAAUACCCUGCUCAAUUGUGUGUUUAAUCCCACACAAUUUUCGUUCCUCGUCCAAAAGGUUCAUUCUCAUCUUCACACUCUAAUGAUCUGAAGACAUAAUCCUCCAACAUUUCACGUGGCUUCCACUACACACUAAUCUCAAAGAAAACCUUUUACUUUUCCGGCCACGUUCACAAUAUAUCAAUCUCUCGCCACGAGUUUCCACGAACACCUCGUUCGUGCUUCUAAUCUCAAUUUCUCAUCGGCGCCUAACUCGGCGGUUCAAAAUAGGCAAAUAGUAGGACCGAGCCUCCGCUCCUAAGGUCACUAUCCUCAAUUUCUCUUUAUCUUUUGAUGCUACAAGCCACGAUCAAUGUCCAUUCGUUCUUGCAACGAAUUUAUACGAACCCGCCAUUCGUGGUUCAGGCCAAAACUCGCUAACAGAGUUAUUGGCCGCACCGACCAUCGGUUUCCAUAGGUGGACCAAGGGCCACCAAUCCUACGUAGGCCUACAGCCUAAACCGAUCUCAACGACGCCUAGCGUCUCUCGCUCGCAAGCGCAAACCCAAUCAUCAUCGGGCGACAUUCUCGUUGGAGAAUUCGCACACACUCCCACUAGGAGCAACCAAGACCCUAAACCACGUCAAGUCCUCGAGUUGGGUCGCUAUACACUCUGUGUGUCCUCGAUCUCACGAUCUAACACGUGGCACUCCACGUACUUGGGUUCAAGCUCGGACUACCGUCCUGACCAAAUCUCUGCCCUACCCGUAGGUGUCGGGCCGCUGCCGCUGCCUUUCGCAGCUGACUGUGCCUGCCCAAUGGGCCCAGGCUCCACAGUUCACAAAGGGUCCAGGCACGGGUCGUCACCAAGCACUACCCGCCGUCGUCGUCCUACACGACAUGCUCUACAGGGCUACACACUCUAGCGGCUCAUAAGCACCAAGUGCGAGCCAACAGUCCUACGAGUGAUCCAUGGCACGCUUCACACUUAGCAACGCUCGAGUGUUACUGCCAACACACUCCCCGGCUAAAUCAUAAUCUACAUUCUACGGACAGCUAACUCAAGUGUCCAGCAUUAUCGCGUCUCUUACUAGAUAUUACACGUUAGGCAACUCAGCCUACGUCUCGAAUACGCAAACACAAAUUCCCUCAACUUAAUUGAGGUACAACUCAACUAACUCGCCAAAACCAGGCGAUCAUCUAACCAACAACUAACUCGCCAAAACCAGGCGAUCAUCUCGUCAUUCGACAACAACGACGCUAUUAACUUUACACAAUCCCUCGGAAUAUCAUCCGAAUUCUCGAAUUCUAGAGUGUCUUCUGACGUUCUAAUUUAAUUCUCAUUACCACCCAAAUGGUUUAAAGAGUAGGUCCACCAUUUCCAUCUUCAUCCCGAGCCCCAACAUUGGCUCACUAUGACUACUCACUAGCACUAUCCAACCGUCUAUUCUACAAUAGACGAUACAUUUUCUUCAUCCUUGCGUGCUAGUGUCAAAUCCAACGCUCUAUCACACUCUUGUAAGUACUAUUUGGAGUUCACAUCAUUCCCAAGUAUACAAUCUUCCUACUGAAGUCAAUUUACUACCAUUUCACUUAUCCAAUAAUACACGCGGCCUUGUCGGUGAAGGUUACUACAACCACUCCUUUUGAGAAAGGUUAGUCAACAGACCUUUCCGAAUUCCAAAUUGACGACUGCAUUCUCUUCCAGGUGUUGCUUAACACUCGAUUAACCACUCGAGCUCAAUAUCAGUCGCUUAUCCUUCAUUCUCACUAAUCAAUUCGCACCCCUUCUGUGCGAGAUAUCAUUUAACUUCAACCACAAGGUGUGGUCCAUUACUUCACCAGAAGUUCAUAGGUUAGAAAAGCGUAUAGCUUUGACACCUUCUCUGUCGAAGUUUCCUUAUUUCAUAAUCGGCCUUGUUUCCAAUAUCCCACACUGUGUACUAAUCAUAGCUUAGCAUGCAGAAAAUCUCUCUACAUACUCUUUCACUGAGCAGUCACUCUGCUAUAGUUUCUCAAACUUAUCUGGAAGUUCACCUGUCAUUUAUCCCAACAAUAUACUUCAUAUCCUGUCCCUGACACACAAAUCCUUCCAGGGAAGAUUUCCCUGAAGCCAAAUCAUAGAUUCUCGACUCAUGAAUAUUCCUUCAUCCACAGCAGAUGGACUAUACUUUCCUGAAGGCCACAAAGGUUAUCCGACUACUCCACAGUCCUCUGGAGUCCAUUGUCUCAAUCCACCAAAUACACUACAGCCUCUCGCUGACAUUGAACUACGACUAUUUAUCGUCACAACCUUACCACGGUGUGACCAACCGAUACCAAAGCUUCGAGUUUCCUCCAAGCUCGGUCAAUUCAGGGGUUCUACUCAUCCCGAACCACAUCGAUCUCAUUAGAGAUCAACCGCACAUAACCACUAAAUGCGCAACAACGCGACCGAUUCUUGACCUUCAAGGUCAAACACGAAACAACUAUCGUCAACCCAGACUCAAAUCAGGCGAAAGUCAUACAAGGGAGCCUAUUCUCAUCACUCGGUUUCAUGUUGUGUGCACCCAACAUGAACACUCCCUGUUGAGAAUAUACUAAACCUUGAAUCUACCUCUAAGAUCCUUUAUAGAGGUAUACAACACACGACCCAAUCGGUUUAACCUUUCGCCACUUACGAAGAUUCUCGUCUCUCACGAACCUAGAUCCUUAUGGUUUUCCAUCCUAAGGUCCCUAGGUCCAUCCUAAACUUUUACUAUCACUUGCUCUGAUACCACUUUAUCUGUCACGUCCCGCUAUCGCCAAUUUGGUCGAUCCGGGCCCGUACACAGACGCCGAACGGACAGAACCUCCACUGUCCGCCCAAGGCUCAACAACAACGAGUACAUGUACAAAGAAAUAAACAGUUCCCAGGAUAACAUUUCAAUAUACAUGGCUUGCACGAGGGAAAGCAACAACCACAAGUGAUAGUAAGCUAACUAUACUGAAAUUUCACUGUACUUUAAAACUUUCAAACUGAACUGGAUAACUGAAAUAUUUAGUUAUUUACAUGCUCUAUAAUACAUUCAUUUACAUGUCUCUGUACAUCAAAAUGUCUCACAUGAACUCAAAAUGGUAAACUACUAUACUCUGGUGUCAGCUAGCUAGGCUGCGGGGCUCUUGCCACGAUCCUCGGCCACACCGCUCGCACUGGAACCUGUAUGGUUAGUGGUGUGAGAACUACAGAAAAGUUCCCAGUGGGUUCGGCCGCCGACCUCGCCGACUCACCCACUAGGUCUACUCAGGCAUAUAUGUAGGCAAGAAAGGUAAAACAGAUAGUAACCAACUAUAUAUGUAACUACUACAAUGCCUGUACAAAGCUGGAAGAAAGCAAUAUAUGAAAACUGUAAAUAUGCAUGCAUGCUUUUACUGAGUUUACCCAAUCCAUUUUGGUUAACCCUUCGGUUAACAAUUACUCACUGACGCUAUCCCAAAUAUCAGGGAGACGCACN